Molecule: ribosomal RNA, 468 nt
Filed under: uncultured bacterium
Lineage: Bacteria
Description: partial 16S ribosomal RNA
Rfam family: Bacterial small subunit ribosomal RNA
Source: RNAcentral
GACGAACGCUGGGGGCGUGCUUAACACGUGCAAGUCGAACGGAAAGGCCCUGCUUUUGUGGGGUGCUCGAGUGGCGAACGGGUGAGUAACACGUGAGUAACCUGCCCUUGACUUUGGGAUAACUUCAGGAAACUGGGGCUAAUACCGGAUAGGAGCUCCUGCUGCAUGGUGGGGGUUGGAAAGUUUCGGCGGUUGGGGAUGGACUCGCGGCUUAUCAGCUUGUUGGUGGGGUAGUGGCUUACCAAGGCUUUGACGGGUAGCCGGCCUGAGAGGGUGACCGGCCACAUUGGGACUGAGAUACGGCCCAGACUCCUACGGGAGGCAGCAGUGGGGAAUAUUGCACAAUGGGCGGAAGCCUGAUGCAGCAACGCCGCGUGCGGGAUGACGGCCUUCGGGUUGUAAACCGCUUUCGCCUGUGACGAAGCGUGAGUGACGGUAAUGGGUAAAGAAGCACCGGCUAACUACGUG